GAGGGUAUAGCUCAGUGGUAGAAUGUGUGCUUAGCAUACACAAGGUCCUAGGUUCAAUCCUUGAUACCUCCA
This 72-nucleotide transfer RNA is filed under the name Camelus bactrianus (Bactrian camel). It matches the Rfam family "tRNA". From Rfam's summary of the family: Transfer RNA (tRNA) molecules are approximately 80 nucleotides in length. Their secondary structure includes four short double-helical elements and three loops (D, anti-codon, and T loops). Further hydrogen bonds mediate the characteristic L-shaped molecular structure. tRNAs have two regions of fundamental functional importance: the anti-codon, which is responsible for specific mRNA codon recognition, and the 3' end, to which the tRNAs corresponding amino acid is attached (by aminoacyl-tRNA synthetases). tRNAs cope with the degeneracy of the genetic code in two manners: having more than one tRNA (with a specific anti-codon) for a particular amino acid; and 'wobble' base-pairing, i.e. permitting non-standard base-pairing at the 3rd anti-codon position. Lineage: Eukaryota; Metazoa; Chordata; Mammalia; Artiodactyla; Camelidae. The record is from Rfam by way of RNAcentral. RNAcentral also lists the same sequence under 1 other name.